UGGGGAUGACGUCAAGUCCUCAUGGCCCUUAUAGGUGGGGCUACACACGUCAUACAAUGGAUGGUACAAAGGGUCGCCAACCCGCGAGGGGGGAGCCAAUCCCAUAAAGCCAUUCGUAGUCCGGAUCGCAGUCUGCAACUCGACUGCGUGAAGUCGGAAUCGCUAGUAAUCGUGGAUCAGAAUGUCACGGUGAAUACGUUCCCGGGUCUU
This 210-nucleotide ribosomal RNA is filed under the name uncultured Polaromonas sp. RNAcentral describes it as "partial 16S ribosomal RNA". It matches the Rfam family "Bacterial small subunit ribosomal RNA", at positions 1174 to 1382 of the family's 1533-position model. The record is from RNAcentral. Lineage: Bacteria; Pseudomonadati; Pseudomonadota; Betaproteobacteria; Burkholderiales; Comamonadaceae.